UGUACUAAAGAAUUGAGCAUUAUUUCUUAUGGAUUGUCAUAGUGUUGUUCAUGAUCUCCAAUAGUAUGAUCAGAUCAAUAUAAAGUGUGGCUUCUAUUUUUUAACAGGCUGUCAUAUUGAACUGUUACAAUGUUUAUAUUGGUUAGUGUUGACUCAUAUGAAACUAUCGCCCAGUGUUUAUAGUGUUUAGUGUUAAAACACCUACCUGAUGGUUAGGUGGAUAUUUGAUGAAAGCAGGAACUUUAAUGUACAUAGACAACCUAAGACCGCAGAGGAAUGUCUCACCUAAAAGUUGGACCAUUUUUCUUAUUUGGAUUUUGUAAAUUUUCUGAAGAUGCAAAUUUCACCAUCCAGUUGAUGGGUCUGCACCUGAUUCCAUUUCAAAGUGGGAGCCUUCUCAGCAAUCUGUGAUGCUUACUCUUGCUGGCCUUCCAAGGAGAGAGGACACAUCACGGGGCGGACGCGAAGGCCUUCAUAGGUAGAGCAGAGCGAGGUCGAUACGGUGGCCAGGCAUGGUCUAGAGAACUGGUGGCUGGUGGUGCGCGAGUUGGAGGCGAGGUGACGUCAUUGACCAAGACGCCUCGUAUAUCCUCAUCUCGUGCCUCCGGGAGAGGAGCUCAUCGAGGAUCCCCUCUUCUCCAUGGAUCCACGAUAGAGGGUCAUAUAUGGAGGAGUGGAUUUGAAAGGAAAGAAUUCCAAUUAGUUGCUUUUGAGGAUGUUCCCGAGGCACUAAAGAACUGGUAGUCUCAUCGUAUGACGGUAUGUAUCUAUUUGGUCAUCAUGUAUAUUGUGUAAACAUAAAAUGAUGCACUGAAUGCACUGCGCUCUUUCCAAUUUUUAUUGUGUC
This is a long non-coding RNA of Triticum dicoccoides, 847 nucleotides long. RefSeq lists it as uncharacterized. NCBI's taxonomy places the organism in Eukaryota, Viridiplantae, Streptophyta, Magnoliopsida, Poales, Poaceae. The transcript is spliced from 3 exons. The record is from RefSeq and is a predicted model, not a curated record.